AAGCUGCCGCAGGUUCGAGUUGAGCGCAGCGAAACAACGGAGCCGCUCGCGGCGACGGCCCGAAGGGCGAGCGAAGCGAGUCAUCCUGCACGACCCACCA
RNAcentral lists this small RNA (100 nucleotides) under Escherichia coli. RNAcentral's name for it is "partial RtT sRNA". It matches the Rfam family "RtT RNA", at positions 27 to 130 of the family's 130-position model. From Rfam's summary of the family: This family represents a bacterial cis-regulatory element known as RtT RNA. The exact function of RtT is unknown although it is thought that it may be involved in changing the cellular response in relation to amino acid starvation. The record is from RNAcentral. Lineage: Bacteria; Pseudomonadati; Pseudomonadota; Gammaproteobacteria; Enterobacterales; Enterobacteriaceae.